Molecule: long non-coding RNA, 205 nt
Filed under: Elaeis guineensis (African oil palm)
Lineage: Eukaryota; Viridiplantae; Streptophyta; Magnoliopsida; Arecales; Arecaceae
Description: long non-coding RNA (EGUI_LNC072237)
Source: RNAcentral
AGAAAGAGUAGACUACUAAGUCAAUCUGAGGCUAACCCCAGGAACCAGAACAACCAACUACCCCAAUAAGAACCCCAGAUCAACCAAUUGAAUGUCAUUCAUAUACUAAGAUCUGAAAAAUAAAUAGAUAACCAUGUGGGCACACCUGAAAUGAAAGAAGAAGAAAUAGAAUAUUCACUAUCUGAACCAUUGUCUAACCAGGGCC